CAAGGCGAUUACGGGUAGCCGGCCUGAGAGGGCGACCGGCCACACUGGGACUGAGACACGGCCCAGACUCCUGCGGGAGGCAGCAGUGGGGAAUAUUGCGCAAUGGGCGAAAGCCUGACGCAGCGACGCCGCGUGGGGGAUGACGGCCUUCGGGUUGUAAACCUCUUUUACCACUCACGCAGGCCCCACGUUUUCGUGGGGUUGACGGUAGGUGGGGAAUAAGGACCGGCUAACUACGUGCCAGCAGCCGCGGUAAUACGUAGGGUCCGAGCGUUGUCCGGAAUUAUUGGGCGUAAAGAGCUCGUAGGCGGCGUGUCGCGUCUGCUGUGAAAGACCGGGGCUUAACCCCGGUUCUGCAGUGGAUACGGGCAUGCUAGAGGUAGGUAGGGGAGACUGGAAUUCCUGGUGUAGCGGUGAAAUGCGCAGAUAUCAGGAGGAACACCGGUGGCGAAGGCGGGUCUCUGGGCCUUACCUGACGCUGAGGAGCGAAAGCAUGGGGAGCGAACAGGAUUAGAUACCCUGGUAGUCCAUGCCGUAAACGUUGGGCGCUAGGUGUGGGGACUUUCCACGGUUUCCGCGCCGUAGCUAACGCAUUAAGCGCCCCGCCUGGGGAGUACGGCCGCAAGGCUAAAACUCAAAGGAAUUGACGGGGGCCCGCACAAGCGGCGGAGCAUGUUGCUUAAUUCGACGCAACGCGAAGAACCUUACCAAGGUUUGACAUCACCCGUGGACCUGUAGAGAUACAGGGUCAUUUGGUUGGCGGGUGACAGGUGGUGCAUGGCUGUCGUCAGCUCGUGUCGUGAGAUGUUGGGUUAAGUCCCGCAACGAGCGCAACCCUUGUUCCAUGUUGCCAGCACGUAAUGGUGGGGACUCAUGGGAGACUGCCGGGGUCAACUCGGAGGAAGGUGGGGACGACGUCAAGUCAUCAUGCCCCUUAUGUCUUGGGCUGCAAACAUGCUACAAUGGCCGGUACAAUGGGCGUGCGAUACCGUGAGGUGGAGCGAAUCCCUAAAAGCCGGUCUCAGUUCGGAUUGGGGUCUGCAACUCGACCCCAUGAAGGUGGAGUCGCUAGUAAUCGCGGAUCAGCAACGCCGCGGUGAAUACGUUCCCGGGCCUUGUA
RNAcentral lists this ribosomal RNA (1120 nucleotides) under Nocardiopsis alba. RNAcentral's name for it is "bacterial SSU rRNA". It matches the Rfam family "Bacterial small subunit ribosomal RNA", at positions 269 to 1385 of the family's 1533-position model. Lineage: Bacteria; Bacillati; Actinomycetota; Actinomycetes; Streptosporangiales; Nocardiopsidaceae. The record is from RNAcentral.